UGCGUGAGUUAUCUGUGAAAGAGACUAAAAUUAAAUCAUUAGCACGCCUAUGUAUCAAGAAUUGGAAAUUCCCAUCUAUUUGAUGAUGUCAUUACACACAAGCUUUGAAACAAGAGAGCGCUGCGAUGCAUCAUCACAUUGCUGUCUGAUAUCAAGAGGAGAGUAACGUAUUUACCGCGACUGUUUUAAAGAAGACUUGAUGAAUAUCUCGUGACUGUGUCGUCAUUAGCAAGGAAAGUCUGUCUUCCACGCCAACCUUGGAUCGGGAGUUAAACUACUCUACACAAGUUGAAGUUGAAAAUCGGCAGGCAUAUUGUGACGCUGCGGUUGUUCAACAGAAGACCACGUUCAUUUCACUGGAGAAGCUAUGAUGACAGACGUCUUGAAGAUGUUUUUUAUCGGGACAGCGUUCACCGUCCUAGCCGCGCUGAUGGGAAUGGUGGAUUCAUUUGGUGGUCUCAUGUAUGUCCAAGGCGCGGAUGCGGCAGAAUAUUUACAGUUGGACAGCAGUACUGACAUACGGAUGUCUUCAACCCAUUCGAGAGGUUCAGGGAGUACCAAACGCAUUGGAUCCUGAUGAGGACGUCAUGCGGAGUAGAAUUAACACAGACAGGCUUGGUUUAUGUUAUGUUUUCGUUUGUCAAUUACUGCUUGCACUGUACAAUGUGUACACUGAUUUUUACAAUAACAUUAUUGAGCCUUUCAUCAUGGUUCGCUUUCAGUUUCACAAGUUGGUGUCCCACUCCCACUGGCCAAAACCUGGUUGAAUCAGCGCUGUUUCCACGUCAUUUCAACCCCGAAAAAUCUAUGUGAUGACGUUGAAUGAGCGUGGAAGACUGAUUGGAUUUGCAAAAAGUCAUCAACGUAUGGAAACUCUGUCUCGUUUUUAACCUGAAUCCAAUGACAUGGUGACAUUUUUGGUUGAAUUGUGCAAUUCAGAACUAGACGUCGAACUGACGUCUGUGCGCAGUGGGGGUUUGAUUUAUACAGGUCACUACGGGUUUGAUGAGUUGUUUAACUUGUUUUGCACAUUUGAAGAACACCCUAGUUGAUGUUUAUAGUAGGCUAUUACUAAAGUACUAGGUCAUAUUGACAGCUAUUACUAUGUAGUUCUAUCCACUAUACUAUACUAAAACUUGGUAGGGCAGCAGGUAGAGCGUUGGGACAGAAAAUGGUAGAGCGUUGGGACAGUAAAUGGUAGAGCGUUGGGGCAGUAACUGAAAGAUUGCUGGUUUGAAUCCCUGAGCUGACUAGGGGGAAAAAUCUGUCUGUGCCCUUGAGCAAGUUACCUAAUUUAGCAAACGCUAAAUCGGUCUGGAUAGGUGCAUCAGCUAAAUGACAAAAAUGUACUAAUCUGUCUACAUGGUAUUCCCUAUAUCAUGUAGGCUAUUUGUUGUAUAUUGAAGAUCACAUUAAGGGUAAAAGAAAAAGGGCUACAUUAUGCACUAAUUGACAGUUCAUCAUGCACUGUAAUAUUGUGUCAUAAAAAAAGUUGUAAAGAAUAAACACUUUUUUAUAGGCUUUUGACAAUAAAAUGAAUAGACACUA
Long non-coding RNA from Salmo salar (Atlantic salmon), 1548 nucleotides. RefSeq lists it as uncharacterized. Lineage: Eukaryota; Metazoa; Chordata; Actinopteri; Salmoniformes; Salmonidae. The record is from RefSeq and is a predicted model, not a curated record.